Non-coding RNA from Paramuricea clavata, 340 nucleotides. Lineage: Eukaryota; Metazoa; Cnidaria; Anthozoa; Malacalcyonacea; Plexauridae. The record is from the annotation of a GenBank genome assembly.
UGGCCAAUCGGACAUCACUAUAUACUCCCAAUGUUAGAAAUCAUGGGUGGAUUUACUUGACAGUUAAGGGGGGGGGGAGUUUAAACCCCUCUAAUAAAGUGUUCAACCCCACCAAAAUUCUGCUGCAACCCUCUCAUUUUGUGUGAAAGGCUUUAUUCCCAAAUGCCUAACCCCUGCCAAAGCUCACUGAGUGGUGCCGCUUGCACCCCACCAGAAAUUUUUCUACCCCUCCUUUUAAAUAAAUGAAAAUCCGCCCUUGUUAGAACUGUUGUAGCAUUACGAAUUUACCUCAUGAUUAGUGUAUCAGUGACUGAUCACUUAAAUUCCGGCAGCUUGUGGG